RNAcentral lists this long non-coding RNA (1146 nucleotides) under Daphnia pulicaria. Its description in RNAcentral is "uncharacterized LOC124319315, transcript variant X3". Lineage: Eukaryota; Metazoa; Arthropoda; Branchiopoda; Diplostraca; Daphniidae. The record is from RNAcentral.
UCCAAUCUGUCGAUGUGCUUCGGUGAAGAGCAGCUGAAGGUGUGACGGCAUGAACUGAAGGUAAAAUGUAACACGAAGUUUUGUGUUGCGAAGGUCUUAACCGAAACGAUUUCUUUUCCUGUCUCGUUCGUGCUUAGCAAAGUCUCAUCACGGCCAUCCGCCAGCGCCUGAGGAAAAUGAAGCCUACCUAUGAUCAGUGAUCACAUUCCAUCUCCAAAAGGACUGCAUUGCCACAAGGUUAACGGACUAAGUCAGCCUUGCAAACAACGUAAAACCACAAACAAAAUAGUCGGGCCGUUAAAAUAUUUUAUUAGUACGAAUCAACAAUCGACACAAGUUAAGUUGAGGAACUGUACAUUGAAAAACACAUAAUAAGGACAAGUCAAUCGGUUAGGCUAUUGCAGCAAAUAUUUGCUUGCAACUACAAAUAAAAUUACUGAUGAAAUCUCUUCAAUUAUCUGGUCAUUAGAAAUUGGGGCAGCUGAUUGGUGACGUCCGAGGCGGAUCCGGUGACGACAUUCAACGCGUGUCUCGGCCGUUUCCGCUGAUACUGUGCCAAUCCUAUGCCGGCUCGGCUGGUGUUGUGAACGAUGAAACAAUGGCAUGGAUGAAGAAACCUCGUUGUGCGCGGACUUCCGGAUCGUAUUUUAGCGGAAGGUUCUUCCACUUGGCGGAAGCACAACAUUGACAUUCAAAAUACUCGCAGUUGUGGCAUCGGAUCGUACAAUACGCAUUACAAGCAGUAACGUGUCGAAUAGCAGCCCAAAGAAGAACCAAUCUUAGUCUGUGGAAGAACCAUUUACUGCCGAUACACCGCAGCAACCAACGGGGCGAUUGAACUUGAAGGGCGAAAGAAGGUGGACAAGGAAGAGAAGUGAUUGAUGCCACAAGCAGGACCGAUCCAGUCUGCGUCUGCCGUACCUUACAGCCGUUGCUCUGAAUAAUCGGAAAGUUUGCAGCUAUAAUAAUUCUACUUCAACUUAAAGAUCCACAUUUGAGUUUCACUGUUCUGUUCGUGGAAUAAGUAUUUGAAAGAAGAUAAGGGUCACUUUACUUACGAAGGCAUUCUCUAACGUAACUAUAAAACAUACCGUUUUAGUUUGUUAGGUCAGUCAGUGUCACACCAAAUAAAUUUUAAAAUCAAAA